This 477-nucleotide ribosomal RNA is filed under the name uncultured bacterium. RNAcentral describes it as "partial 16S ribosomal RNA". It matches the Rfam family "Bacterial small subunit ribosomal RNA", at positions 28 to 507 of the family's 1533-position model. The record is from RNAcentral.
GAUUAACGCUGGCGGCGUGCAUAACACAUGCAAGUCGAACGAUGAAACUUUAAUGAACCCUUCGGGGAGAAUUAAAGCGGAUUAGUGGCGAACGGGUGAGUAACGCGUGAGUAACCUGCCUUACACAAGGGGAUAGCCUUUGGAAACGAAGAAUAAUACCCUAUAAAACCAUAAAAGCACAUGCAAUUAUGGUCAAAGUGAUAGCGGUGUAAGAUGGACUUGCGUCUGAUUAGCUAGUUGGUGAGAUAAAAGCCCACCAAGGCAACGAUCAGUAGCCGGCUUGAGAGAGUGUACGGCCACAUUGGGACUGAGACACGGCCCAGACUCCUACGGGAGGCAGCAGUGGGGAAUUUUGCACAAUGGGGGAAACCCUGAUGCAGCGACGCCGCGUGAUUGAGAAGGCCUUCGGGUUGUAAAAAUCUUUUGUAUAGGAAGAAAAUGACAGUACUAUACGAAUAAGGGCCGGCUAAUUACGUG